UUUCCGGUUGAUCCUGCCGGACCUGACUGCUAUCGGAUUGAUACUAAGCCAUGUGAGUCAUUGUAGCAAUACAAGGCAGACGGCUCAGUAACACGUAGCCAACCUACCCUAUGGACGGGAAUAACCUCGGGAAACUGAGUAUAAUGCCCGAUAGAACAUUAUACCUGGAAUGGUUUAUGUUCCAAAUGAUUUAUCGCCGUAGGAUGGGACUGCGGCCUAUCAGUUUGUUGGUGAGGUAAUGGCCCACCAAGACUAUUACAGGUACGGGCUCUGAGAGGAGUGGCCCGGAGAUGGGUACUGAAACACGGACCCAGGCCCUAUGGGGCGCAGCAGGCGAGAAAACUUUGCAAUGUGCGAAAGCACGACAAGGUUAAUCCGAGUGGUUUCUGCUAAAGGAACCUUUUGUUAGUCCUAAAAACACUAACGAAUAAGGGGUGGGCAAGUUCUGGUGUCAGCCGCCGCGGUAAAACCAGCACCUCAAGUGGUCAGGAUGAUUAUUGGGCCUAAAGCAUCCGUAGCCGGCUCUGUAAGUUUUCGGUUAAAUCUGUACGCUUAACGUACAGGCUGCCGGGAAUACUGCAGAGCUAGGGAGUGGGAGAGGUAGACGGUACUCGGGAGGAAGUGGUAAAAUGCUUUGAUCUCUCGAUGACCACCUGUGGCGAAGGCGGUCUACCAGAACACGUCCGACGGUGAGGGAUGAAAGCUGGGGGAGCAAACCGGAUUAGAUACCCGGGUAGUCCCAGCUGUAAACUAUGCAAACUCAGUGAUGCAUUGGCUUGUGGCCAAUGCAGUGUUGCAGGGAAGCCGUUAAGUUUGCCGCCUGGGAAGUACGUACGCAAGUAUGAAACUUAAAGGAAUUGGCGGGGGAGCACCACAAGGGGUGAAGCCUGCGGUUCAAUUGGAUUCAACGCCGGG
RNAcentral lists this ribosomal RNA (915 nucleotides) under uncultured marine group I thaumarchaeote. RNAcentral describes it as "bacterial SSU rRNA". It matches the Rfam family "Archaeal small subunit ribosomal RNA", at positions 1 to 922 of the family's 1478-position model. The record is from RNAcentral. Lineage: Archaea; Thermoproteati; Nitrososphaerota.